This 561-nucleotide long non-coding RNA is filed under the name Pongo abelii (Sumatran orangutan). Its description in RNAcentral is "lincRNA". The record is from RNAcentral. Lineage: Eukaryota; Metazoa; Chordata; Mammalia; Primates; Hominidae.
AGCGCUCACUCCAGGCCGCAGACUCCGACCGGAACUGACAGCGCGGCCUCCAGGAUUGAAACUAUCCCUGGCUUGAAGUAGCCUAAGGAGAUUUGCUAGUUGGAGUCCUGGGAGAUGAGAUGGGGAAGAUGGGCUCAAGCUGCAACAUGAAGGUCCAUGAUGAGCAGCUGGCAUCUCCUACAGUGCCUUCCACUUGCAAAGCUGCAGAUCCCUAAGGCCAAGGCUGAUGAAAGAUGUGGGUAGCUGAUUCUGUCCUGUGACCUGGAGGCUCUGAAUUUGUGAUUGAAGAGAUCCUGCACAGUCCUCUCCCCCUGUCAUAUCAGGCAUCUGCAAGGCAUUCUAAGGACCUCUAGGAGCACACAGUUCAAUCCAGCAACCUCUACUAAGGGUCACAAAUGCCUACGUCCAAGUCUAUGCUGGCCCCGUCAAAGUCCCGUCUCUGCUGUGCCCCCAGGGUCUUACGGGCUACAUAUGGGACAACUUUUUAAAUACUCGCACAUGUUGUGGUCAUUGUAAGUCCAAGUCACAAAAACAGCAGAAGUAGAAAGUUUUACCUUAGAG